This 487-nucleotide ribosomal RNA is filed under the name Anaplasma sp. ORPAL110. RNAcentral's name for it is "bacterial SSU rRNA". It matches the Rfam family "Bacterial small subunit ribosomal RNA", at positions 91 to 613 of the family's 1533-position model. Lineage: Bacteria; Pseudomonadati; Pseudomonadota; Alphaproteobacteria; Rickettsiales; Anaplasmataceae. The record is from RNAcentral.
AUUAGUGGCAGACGGGUGAGUAAUGCAUAGGAAUCUACCUAGUAGUAUGGGAUAGCCACUAGAAAUGGUGGGUAAUACUGUAUAAUCCCUGCGGGGGAAAGAUUUAUCGCUAUUAGAUGAGCCUAUGUUAGAUUAGCUAGUUGGUGGGGUAAUAGCCUACCAAGGCUGUGAUCUAUAGCUGGUCUGAGAGGAUGAUCAGCCACACUGGAACUGAGACACGGUCCAGACUCCUACGGGAGGCAGCAGUGGGGAAUAUUGGACAAUGGGCGCAAGCCUGAUCCAGCUAUGCCGCGUGAGUGAGGAAGGCCUUAGGGUUGUAAAACUCUUUCAGCAGGGAAGAUAAUGACGGUACCUGCAGAAGAAGUCCCGGCAAACUCCGUGCCAGCAGCCGCGGUAAUACGGAGGGGGCAAGCGUUGUUCGGAAUUAUUGGGCGUAAAGGGCAUGUAGGCGGUUUGGUAAGUUAAAGGUGAAAUGCCAGGGCUCAAC